ACGGGAGGCAGCAGUGGGGAAUAUUGGGCAAUGGGCGAAAGCCUGACCCAGCAACGCCGCGUGAAGGAAGAAGGCCUUCGGGUUGUAAACUUCUUUUAUCAGGGACGAAGAAUGUGACGGUACCUGAUGAAUAAGCAACGGCUAAUUACGUGCCAGCAGCCGCGGUAACACGUAAGUUGCGAGCGUUGUUCGGAAUUAUUGGGCGUAAAGGGCAUGUAGGCGGUUUUGCAAGCUUGGUGUGAAAUCCCGGAGCUCAACUCCGGAAUUGCGUUGAGAACUGCAUAACUAGAGUCACUGAGGGGCAAUCAGAAUUCCAGGUGUAGGGGUGAAAUCUGUAGAUAUCUGGAAGAAUACCAAUGGCGAAGGCAGGUUACCAGCAGAUGACUGACGCUGAGGUGCGAAGGUGCGGGGAGCAAACAGGAUUAGAUACCCUGGUA
Molecule: ribosomal RNA, 437 nt
Filed under: uncultured Treponema sp.
Lineage: Bacteria; Pseudomonadati; Spirochaetota; Spirochaetia; Treponematales; Treponemataceae
Description: partial 16S ribosomal RNA
Rfam family: Bacterial small subunit ribosomal RNA
Source: RNAcentral